This 294-nucleotide ribosomal RNA is filed under the name uncultured bacterium. RNAcentral's name for it is "partial 16S ribosomal RNA". It matches the Rfam family "Bacterial small subunit ribosomal RNA", at positions 773 to 1060 of the family's 1533-position model. The record is from RNAcentral.
GUGGAUUAGAUACCCUGGUAGUCCACGCGGUAAACGAUGACGACUAGGUGUGGGGGGGUUAAGUCCCUUCCGUGCCGCAGCUAACGCAUUAAGUCGUCCGCCUGGGGAGUACGGCCGCAAGGUUGAAACUCAAAGGAAUUGACGGGGGCCCGCACAAGCGGUGGAGCAUGUGGUUCAAUUCGAUGCAGAGCGAAGAACCUUACCUGGGCUUGACAUGUAGGAAGUAGAAACCGGAAACGGGGACGACCUGUUGAGUCAGGAGCCUACACAGGUGGUGCAUGGCUAUCGACAACU